AUGACUCUUGGCAGGGAAGAAGCUAUUUGGGCUGAAUCAGACGAGGUGCUGGAGCAGAUUGGGAAGGGCUCCUUUGGCUCUGCGCUCCUGGUGAGGCAAAAGGUUGAGAGGAAGAGGUAUGUCUUGAAGAAGAUCCGGCUCGCCUGUCAAACCGUCAGGUGCCGGCGAUCCGCACACCAAGAGAUGGAGCUCAUCGCAAAAGUAAGGAGCCCAAUCAUCGUGGAAUACAAAGAUUCUUGGGUGGAGAAGGGGUGCUAUGUGUGCAUCAUGAUUGGUUACUGCGGGGGAGGGGACAUGCUAGAGGCCAUUAAGAAGGCUAACGGCAACCAUUUCUCGGAGGAGAAACUCUGUGUGUGGCUUGUGCAGCUCCUGAUGGCGCUUGAUUACUUGCAUGCCAAUCAUAUCCUUCAUCGAGAUGUCAAGUGUUCAAAUAUAUUUCUUCCAAAGGACCAAAAUAUACGGAUCGGCGAUUUUGGGCUUGCUAAAGUGUUUACUUCUGAUGAUUUAGCUUCGUCGGUUGUAGGAACUCCCAGUUACAUGUACCCUGAACUUCUUCCUGACAUUCCAUAUGGCUCCAAGUCCGAUGUAUGGUCGUUAGGAUGCUGCAUCUAUGAGAUGACUGCGCUGAAGCAUGCAUUCAAAGCAUUUGAUAUGCAAACACUGAUAAACAAGAUUAACAAGUCUGUUGUCGCCCCUCUACCGACUAUAUAUUCUGGCGCAUUUAGGGGAUUCAUCGAAAGCAUGCUGCGCAGAAAUCCAGAUCACAGACCGUGCUGUAGAUCUGCUAAACCAUCUGCAUCUUCAGCCCUAUGUGUUGGAAAUCCAAUCGAAAUCAAGUCCGGCUCGCAAUAUGUUCCCAGCUAUACUUCCUAA
RNAcentral lists this ribosomal RNA (873 nucleotides) under Triticum aestivum (bread wheat). RNAcentral's name for it is "partial small subunit ribosomal RNA". Lineage: Eukaryota; Viridiplantae; Streptophyta; Magnoliopsida; Poales; Poaceae. The record is from RNAcentral.